UGCCAGCCGCCGCGGUAAUACGGAGGAUCCAAGCGUUAUCCGGAAUUAUUGGGUUUAAAGGGUCCGCAGGCUGUUUGUUAAGUCAGGGGUGAAAUCCUACCGCUCAACGGUAGAACUGCCUUUGAUACUGGCAAACUUGAGUUAUUGUGAAGUAGUUAGAAUGUGUAGUGUAGCGGUGACAGGCAUAGAUAUUACACAGAAUAACAAUUGCGAAGGCAGAUUACUAACAAUUAACUGACGCUGAGGGACGAACGCGUAGGUCGCGAACAGUAUUAGAUC
RNAcentral lists this ribosomal RNA (279 nucleotides) under uncultured bacterium. RNAcentral's name for it is "partial 16S ribosomal RNA". It matches the Rfam family "Bacterial small subunit ribosomal RNA", at positions 506 to 784 of the family's 1533-position model. The record is from RNAcentral.